RNAcentral lists this ribosomal RNA (253 nucleotides) under uncultured bacterium. RNAcentral describes it as "partial 16S ribosomal RNA". It matches the Rfam family "Bacterial small subunit ribosomal RNA", at positions 524 to 776 of the family's 1533-position model. The record is from RNAcentral.
UACGUAGGGGGCGAGCGUUGUCCGGAGUUACUGGGCGUAAAGGGCGCGCAGGCGGUCUGGUAAGUUUGGAGUGACAGUGCUCGGCUUAACUGAGCAAGGCCUUCGAAAACUGUCAGACUUGAGCACUCAAGAGGGACAUAGAAUUCCGGGUGGAGUGGUGAAAUGCGUAGAAAUCCGGAGGAAUACCAAAGGCGAAGGCAGUGUCCUGGGGAGUGUCUGACGCUCAGGCGCGAAAGCUAGGGGAGCGAACAGG